UUGUUACCUCUUUUCCCCAUGCAGUGUUGCCAGCGGAACUGUCUGUUCCCUCAGCAUGAUCGCUUUCUUUUUGAAGACUCGGUAAGUCAGUGGUUUGAUACCCGGUACUUUACCCUUUCCCCGGCGAGGUCGUCUGUGGAAUUGUUGCUAUCUCUCCAUCAGAGUGCUUAUUUCUCUUCAGCAGAGCAGGAUUUAUUUUCCUACUCAGCGGUUGAUUUGGGUUGACAUCCCAGUAUUGCAACCAUC
This 246-nucleotide long non-coding RNA is filed under the name Lathyrus oleraceus (garden pea). RNAcentral describes it as "Pisum sativum (pea) long non-coding RNA (PSAT_LNC026795)". The record is from RNAcentral. Lineage: Eukaryota; Viridiplantae; Streptophyta; Magnoliopsida; Fabales; Fabaceae.